UUGAAUACCAGUCUAAUAAAGUUGUGUUGUAUCGAGGUCUCCGGUUUGAAUACCAGUCUAAUAAAGUUGUGUUGUAUCGAGGUCUCCGGUUUGAAUACCAGUCUAAUAAAGUUGUGUUGUAUCGAGGUCUCCAGUUUGAAUACCAGUCUAAUAAAGUUGUGUUGUAUCGAGGUCUCCGGUUUGAAUACCAGUCUAAUAAAGUUGUGUUGUAUCGAGGUCUCCGGUUUGAAUACCAGUCUAAUAAAGUUGUGUUGUAUCGAGGUCUCCGGUUUGAAUACCAGUCUAAUAAAGUUGUGUUGUAUCGAGGUCUCCGGUUUGAAUACCAGUCUAAUAAAGUUGUGUUGUAUCGAGGUCUCCGGUUUGAAUACCAGUCUAAUAAAGUUGUGUUGUAUCGAGGUCUCCGGUUUGAAUACCAGUCUAAUAAAGUUGUGUUGUAUCGAGGUCUCCGGUUUGAAUACCAGUCUAAUAAAGUUGUGUUGUAUCGAGGUCUCCGGUUUGAAUACCAGUCUAAUAAAGUUGUGUUGUAUCGAGGUCUCCGGUUUGAAUACCAGUCUAAUAAAGUUGUGUUGUAUCGAGGUCUCCGGUUUGAAUACCAGUCUAAUAAAGUUGUGUUGUAUCGAGGUCUCCGGUUUGAAUACCAGUCUAAUAAAGUUGUGUUGUAUCGAGGUCUCCGGUUUGAAUACCAGUCUAAUAAAGUUGUGUUGUAUCGAGGUCUCCAGUUUGAAUACCAG
Molecule: long non-coding RNA, 731 nt
Organism: Oncorhynchus keta (chum salmon)
Lineage: Eukaryota; Metazoa; Chordata; Actinopteri; Salmoniformes; Salmonidae
Exons: 3
Source: RefSeq, a predicted model, not a curated record